UGACCUUUCCUUGUACUAUCAAAUGCGCCUCUCAAUAUAAAACGUCGUGUUUCCUUAAGGAUAAUGGAGAUUGUGACUGCCACUGCGUCGAUACAACAGACGCUUGUGCGCCAUUGCUAAGAUCAAGGUGUAAUCGCGGAGCAUAUCUCCAGUGCUACCGUCCAACUAACGGUUGUAACUGUUUCUGUGGGUGACCCUUCUUCCCAUUUCGAUUUGGAUUCCUUAAUCAUCGUUGGCAUAUUAAUGGUGCGUGGUUUCUUCGGAUCACCACACCACCAGUUGAAUCUAGGAAGUUAUGCAUCUGUAAUCAAAUUUCCUAACUGCACAUUAGCAGAA
Long non-coding RNA from Dermacentor andersoni, 336 nucleotides. RefSeq lists it as uncharacterized. The record is from RefSeq and is a predicted model, not a curated record. Lineage: Eukaryota; Metazoa; Arthropoda; Arachnida; Ixodida; Ixodidae.